CACAGAGCUUGGACAAUUUCAGAGAUGGCUAACCUUGACCUAUGUUAAGAGGUUUAAAAGUCACAUUCUGUUUCAAUCUGUUCAGUUUUGUUUUUGGGUGGCGGGCAUGACAGCCAGUCAGCGUAGAGCUGCGCCGUGACGUCAGUGGCUGGUCUCUCCAGCCACAUUCAAACAUUCAUUAUUUGUAUUUAUAUAAUGGCUGAGUGGAUCCUUAUUUGAUUGGUGGCUUGUACGAGGUCUGU
Long non-coding RNA from Thalassophryne amazonica, 242 nucleotides. RefSeq lists it as uncharacterized. The transcript is spliced from 3 exons. The record is from RefSeq and is a predicted model, not a curated record. Lineage: Eukaryota; Metazoa; Chordata; Actinopteri; Batrachoidiformes; Batrachoididae.